This 251-nucleotide long non-coding RNA is filed under the name Lupinus angustifolius (narrow-leaved blue lupine). Its description in RNAcentral is "long non-coding RNA (LANG_LNC001543)". Lineage: Eukaryota; Viridiplantae; Streptophyta; Magnoliopsida; Fabales; Fabaceae. The record is from RNAcentral.
CCUAAUUGACCAUGAAACUAGUUCUUACUUGAAGACCAAGCUUAUGACCUCAUGGAUCAAUCAACCAUGACAAGCCUAGUAGGAGGUGUCAUCUUGCAUGAAGCUUAACGCACAAUAGGUUUCCCAAGUAGAAGAAAAAACUGCUGAGCAGCCAACCAAGUGCAUGGCAAAAUCACCCAGCCAACUUAGAUGGUGGGCGCUAGGCACACGACAAAGGGCGCUAGUAACACGACAAAGGGCGCUAGGCACAC